Molecule: ribosomal RNA, 1224 nt
Filed under: metagenome
Description: SSU rRNA
Rfam family: Eukaryotic small subunit ribosomal RNA
Source: RNAcentral
CUCAUGGUUUCACGGUAUUGCAAUGAGAACAAUUUAAAACCCUUAGCGAGAAUCAAGUGGAGGACAAGUCUGGUGCCAGCACCCGCGGUAAUUCCAGCUCCACUAGCGUAUAUUAAAGUUGUUGCAGUUAAAAAGCUCGUAGUUGAACCUCUGUCUGGGGCUAGUUUUGGCUUUGGUCAGGCUAGUUCUAGGCAUCCGCCUACAAGACUUAGAGGGCAUUCAGUUGCUCACUAGGAGGAGUAGGCAUUUUACUUUGAAAAAAUUAGAGUGUUUAAGGCAGGCAAUCGCCCGCAUAUAUUAGCAUGGAAUAAUAGAAUAGGACACUUUUCCAUUUCGUUGGUUAUUGGAAUCGUGUAAUGAUUAAUAGGGACAGUUGUGGGCAUUUGUAUUUAAUUGUCAGAGGUGAAAUUCUUGGAUUUAUUAAAGACAAACUAACGCGAAAGCAUUUGCCAAGGAUGUUUUCAUUAAUCAAGAACGAAAGUUAGGGGAUCAAAGACGAUCAGAUACCGUCCUAGUCUUAACUAUAAACUAUUCCGACUCAAUGUUUGACUGGCUUAUAUAACCAGUUGAGCGUUGUAUGAGAAAUCAAAGUCUUUAGGUUCUGGGGGGAGUAUGGUUGCAAAGCUGAAACUUAAAGGAAUUGACGGAAGAGCACAACCAGGAGUGGAUUCUGCGGCUUAAUUUGACUCAACACGGGGAAACUUACCAGGUUAAAACAAUAGUGGGAUUGACAGUUUGAGAGCGCUUUCUUGAUUGGUUGGGUGGUGGUGCAUGGCCGUUCUUAGUUGGUGGAGUGAUUUGUCUGCUUAAUUGCGUUAACGAACGAGACCUUAACCUGCUUACUAGACUGGCGAUCAUCAAUCGUUAGCUCUUCUUAGAGGGACUUUGGUUGUUUUAACUCCAAGGAAGUUUGAGGCAAUAACAGGUCUGUGAUGCCCUUAGAUAUCCUGGGCCGCACGCGUCACACAAUGACUAGUUCAGAAAGUUUUCUCCUGACCCGAAAGGGGAUGGGUAAUCUUGAUAAUACUAGUCGUGUUAGGGAUCGAUCUUUGCAAUUAUAGAUCUUGAACGAGGAAUUCCUAGUAAGUGCGGUUCAUCAGACCGUACUGAUUACGUCCCUGCUCUUUGUACACACCGCCCGUCGCUUCUACCGAGUGGGUGGUCCGGUGAGAUAAUUGAACUUCGCAGGUAACUGAGAGGAAAGAUUAUCAAACCUAUCCACCU